GACGAACGCUGGCGGCGUGCUUAACACAUGCAAGUCGAACGGAAAGGCCCUGCUUUUGUGGGGUGCUCGAGUGGCGAACGGGUGAGUAACACGUGAGUAACCUGCCCUUGACUUUGGGAUAACUUCAGGAAACUGGGGCUAAUACCGGAUAGGAGCUCCUGCUGCAUGGUGGGGGUCGAAAAGUUUCGGCGGUUGGGGAUGGACUCGCGGCUUAUCAGCUUGUUGGUGGGGUAGUGGCUUACCAAGGCUUUGACGGGUAGCCGGCCUGAGAGGGUGACCGGCCACAUUGGGACUGAGAUACGGCCCAGACUCCUACGGGAGGCAGCAGUGGGGAAUAUUGCACAAUGGGCGGAAGCCUGAUGCAGCAACGCCGCGUGCGGGAUGACGGCCUUCGGGUUGUAAACCGCUUUCGCCUGUGACGAAGCGUGAGUGACGGUAAUGGGUAAAGAAGCACCGGCUAACUACGUG
RNAcentral lists this ribosomal RNA (468 nucleotides) under uncultured bacterium. RNAcentral describes it as "partial 16S ribosomal RNA". It matches the Rfam family "Bacterial small subunit ribosomal RNA", at positions 28 to 507 of the family's 1533-position model. The record is from RNAcentral.